Salvia splendens (bonfire salvia) is the source of this 527-nucleotide long non-coding RNA. RefSeq lists it as uncharacterized. The record is from RefSeq and is a predicted model, not a curated record. NCBI's taxonomy places the organism in Eukaryota, Viridiplantae, Streptophyta, Magnoliopsida, Lamiales, Lamiaceae. The transcript has 2 exons.
ACUUACACAAAACUUCCUUACAAUAGAAAAAAGGACACUUCUUCCCCUCCUUAAUUCCAAAAGAAAAUGAAAGACUUAAACUCGAAAUUGGAGAUGGAGAACUUCCUAAUCAUGCAAGAAAAUGAGAAGUUGAAGAUGCUGGCUGAGUUUUUCAGCCAAGAGAAUCAGGCUCUUCUCAAUGAGCUCAACUACAAGCUCGCCGCUGCUGCUGCAGCUGGAAUCCCCAUCCCUCAUGAUCUCAAUAGGUCCACCUCCUCCUCUGCCGCCGCCACCACUAGCUCCUCAAAGACCAACAAGAAAUCCAACAAGUGAGAAUUAAGAAGGCCACACCAUGCUAUAUGUUUUGCUCAUCAUCAACAUUUAGUUUUCGUUUGUCUCAAUUAGGUUUCUGUUGAAAGUAGAUGUAAGGGUCUCAAUUCUAAGUUCGUUGUUGUUAUUAUUGUUGUUUAUCAGUCUUUUCUCUUUUGUUGUUGUUGUUGCUGCUGUUUAUCACUCGGAUUAUAAUUUGGUAAUGAAUAUUGAGUAAA